AUCCGGGAGGCAGCAGUAGGGAAUCUUCCGCAAUGGACGAAAGUCUGACGGAGCAACGCCGCGUGAGUGAUGAAGGUUUUCGGAUCGUAAAGCUCUGUUGUUAGGGAAGAACAAGUGCCGUUCAAAUAGGGCGGCACCUUGACGGUACCUAACCAGAAAGCCACGGCUAACUACGUGCCAGCAGCCGCGGUAAUACGUAGGUGGCAAGCGUUGUCCGGAAUUAUUGGGCGUAAAGGGCUCGCAGGCGGUUUCUUAAGUCUGAUGUGAAAGCCCCCGGCUCAACCGGGGAGGGUCAUUGGAAACUGGGGAACUUGAGUGCAGAAGAGGAGAGUGGAAUUCCACGUGUAGCGGUGAAAUGCGUAGAGAUGUGGAGGAACACCAGUGGCGAAGGCGACUCUCUGGUCUGUAACUGACGCUGAGGAGCGAAAGCGUGGGGAGCGAACAGGAUUAGAUACCCUGGUAGUCCACGCCGUAAACGAUGAGUGCUAAGUGUUUAGGGGGGUUUUUCCCA
RNAcentral lists this ribosomal RNA (511 nucleotides) under Bacillus subtilis. Its description in RNAcentral is "bacterial SSU rRNA". It matches the Rfam family "Bacterial small subunit ribosomal RNA", at positions 339 to 841 of the family's 1533-position model. Lineage: Bacteria; Bacillati; Bacillota; Bacilli; Caryophanales; Bacillaceae. The record is from RNAcentral.